CGAACCGUGCGAACGUUGUUCGGAAUCACUGGGCUUAAAGGGCGCGUAGGCGGGGGAGCAAGUCCGGGGUGAAAUCGUUCGGCUCAACCGAACCACUGCCUCGGAUACUGCUCCUCUCGAGGGGGGUAGGGGCGAGCUGGAACUUCCGGUGGAGCGGUGAAAUGCGUUGAUAUCGGAAGGAACGCCGGUGGCGAAAGCGAGCUGCUGGACCUUUUCUGACGCUGAGGCGCGAAAGCCAGGGGAGCAAACGGGAUUAGAUACCCCGGUAGUCCUGGCCCUAAACGAUGGGUACUAGGUAGCGGACUAGACAUGGGUUCGCUGCCGAAGCUAAAGUGCUAAGUACCCCGCCUGGAGAGUAUGGUCGCAAGGCUGA
RNAcentral lists this ribosomal RNA (373 nucleotides) under uncultured organism. Its description in RNAcentral is "bacterial SSU rRNA". It matches the Rfam family "Bacterial small subunit ribosomal RNA", at positions 526 to 897 of the family's 1533-position model. The record is from RNAcentral.